AGUCAACCGAACCGGUGCGGGCGAUAGAAAAAAAGAACGCAGCCUUCCAAUCCCGUCUCCACCUCCGGUGCACCGCCACCCCCUGCCCUGCCGCCGCGCACCGGUCUGGCGCGCGUGGACAUGGUGCCCGACGGGGGAGGGGAGUGCCGCAUCGCAAGUCUCGCGCCGGCGGGCUGCGCGCUCCUCGAGCGGUUGGAGGCGGCGUGGCUGCUCGACGCAGAACGAACGCGGUGGCCGGAGCUUGCAGGGGAUGGAUUCGUGUGCGACAGGGGCAGGGGAGGCGGAUCUGGAGGCUUUCGGCGAGGCGGGGUUCGCCUGUGACGAGGAGGAUGGCCGGAGUGCGGCUUCCUGAGAGGAUCCAUAGCAUCCGCGGCUCCAGGACAAAAAGGAGACACGGUGGUGAGGGAGAUAACAAGGGAGAAAGGAGGGGCGGUGCGAUGACCUUGGCCGGAGCUCACCGGUGUCCGGAAACGGCAGACGGGCGCCACUGCUACUGCAUCCAUGGUAUUCCUCCUCUCACCUCUCCUGCCUUAAUGACAUCUGUUGCGUCGCCAAAGCCUUGGCCGCACAUCACCAGCAUCUCCGGCCUCGAGUACUCCUGCCACUGCACCCAGAGGCCCGUCGCCAUGACCGGAUCCAGUAUGGUUCCUCUAAUGCCCGCCCUCUCCCUCAUGGCACAUGUGCUAUUUUACUCGGAAAGGCCAUUGCUCACACUUUGAAUUUUGGCAUCAACUUUGUUGUCGUGCUUCAUUUCUUUGCUGGAAGAACCUCAAUUGUUUCUUUGCUUCGGUUGUUCUUCAAUCUUAGCUCUCAGUUCUCAACAUAUGCAUUACAAUAUGUUUGUUGUCUGUAGGGAUGGAGUGAAGAAAUUGGAUUGGGGUCAUGGAAUAAAUCAACUAGGGGAUGCAACUCAUGUUCUUGUAGGUGGUCAUUCAGACAUUUCUUAACUCUGUUGCAAAAUCAGCUGCCACAGCUCCGCGCUACCGGUCAUGGAAACCUCUCAUGUAUCCCCUCUUGUCGCUUCUCACCAGCAGCGUCUCUACGCUGUGGCAGCGGCUAUCCCGCCCGAUGAUUGAAGCUGCUGCUCCUGAUCUAUUGUGUCUGGGCAAUCCCAGCCACUCCUCCCUAGCAAACUUGUGCUCUUCCUUCGGCUUGCCUUCCAUAGGGUCUGGCACCGCUUCAAUUAUAAUCUGCAGGACAUACACAAGUUGCAGACAAAUCGAUUGAAAUAAUGUGCUAAGCCUUGGGCUCCAUUGCCACUUUGUCAGCUUGUUGAUAUUAGAGGGAGGAUCAAAGGGGUGAUUGGUACUUUCCCUUACAGCAGCCGGUGAAAAGCAACGAAUUUUCUCAACCAAUGAUGCUUUCUCUGUGGUGUCCAGGUUAUGAACUCCUACAAUUUUAGGUGUACUACAAUCCAGGAAUGCAGCAGGCCAGAACAAUGGACAAUGAUUGUACUAUGAGUGGCUAGGUAUUGGCCUACCGUGGCAAGAUGCCGGUGACUCUAUGAGGUGUGUAAAAUAUGGAUCUGUAAAUGUCCCAGGUUGCCUUGGGGGCCAAAUGCCGCAAACAGGUCAAGUGACAUAGAACAAUCCUGUAACUUUGAAGACACCUCCAGAUGUUGUGAUUCUGCAAAUUAUCUGGAUCUUCUUAUAUGCCAGAAGCUAAGGUCCAUUGUCCCUCAACACAGUCUCCCUGAAAUACAAAUUCCAGCUUUAAAGUGUGGCAAUGACGCAAAUUCCUGAAGGACACGUUCGUCAGGCUUGACCUGACCCUCUCUGACGCCACCUUGCCGCCUCUGUUGCUGGAGAUCAGCCGAAAGAGUUAGCUUGUAGCCGCUUUGUUUCAAUGGUUGCUCAAUGCUCUUCGACUCUCCAUAAUGAGCAGUUGAUGGUGCUUGGACGAAACAAUUGAUCGGAAAAUGGGUAGUGUUGUACUGGUGGUCUUGUGUCCGCCCACUAACUGUAAGACACCUAAGAUGAUUCUUCAGGACUUGAUACAUUCCGAUUACUCAUUUGGGUCUUCUUCUUACUCUUA
Non-coding RNA from Triticum urartu, 2034 nucleotides. The record is from RefSeq and is a predicted model, not a curated record. NCBI's taxonomy places the organism in Eukaryota, Viridiplantae, Streptophyta, Magnoliopsida, Poales, Poaceae.